ACAUCGGUGACAGGUGGUUGGCAUGGUUGUCGUCAGCUCGUGUCGUGAGAUGUUGGGUUAAGUCCCGCAACGAGCGCAACCCCUAUUGUUAGUUGCCAUCAUUCAGUUGGGCACUCUGGCGAGACUGCCGGUAAUAAACCGGAGGAAGGUGGGGAUGACGUCAAAUCAUCAUGCCCCUUAUGACCUGGGCUACACACGUGCUACAAUGGUUGGUACAACGAGUUGCGAGUCGGUGACGGCGAGCUAAUCUCUUAAAGCCAAUCUCAGUUCGGAUUGUAGGCUGCAACUCGCCUACAUGAAGUCGGAAUCGCUAGUAAUCGCGGAUCAGCACGCCGCGGUGAAUACGUUCCCGGGCCUU
RNAcentral lists this ribosomal RNA (358 nucleotides) under uncultured Streptococcus sp. Its description in RNAcentral is "bacterial SSU rRNA". It matches the Rfam family "Bacterial small subunit ribosomal RNA", at positions 1025 to 1382 of the family's 1533-position model. Lineage: Bacteria; Bacillati; Bacillota; Bacilli; Lactobacillales; Streptococcaceae. The record is from RNAcentral.